UAGGUUCAUUUUUCUUCAGUGUUGGCAGGAAUGUACAAGAAUGACAAUCAACAUAGAUAGAAGUAAGAUGCUUGCUGAAUUCUGGUGGCCAUCUGCUGCUCCACUGGCGUCCCUUGGGGGUGCUGGAAAGAAUCAGACUUUCAUUAAAGAAUCCGAGCAUUUCAAACGGCCAUGAGUACGAGGUCCUAAGAAAUUAGGCAGACAGCUUCUACAUUUGAGGAGACACAAAGAUAACCUGCUGGGCACAAGUGGCACACAUAACGUUCCAGUCUUCAUAAUUUACUUUUGAAUUAUGGUGCUCUCAGUAAUUAUCACCAACAUAUCAGUGGGCCAACUGCCACUUAAUGGCAAUCUUAAAUUUCAGUAACAGUAUGUGAAGGAUCCUUGAUUGCAAACCAUGAAAUUAAACCAUCUUUAAACAGUGUAACUUUGUGAAGUAAUCGCCUUGGUAAGCCACUUACAGUUUUACUGCAAUAAGUGUUAUUUAAUAAAAUCUGAAUUAAGAACUACUUUGUCAUUUAGGUUAAUGCUGUUGUGGUAGAUGAGAUUCACUGCAUGUCUUCAAAUAUUCAGUGAAAACCUUUCUGGAAAUAAUUUUUUGACUUUAAAGCAUAUAGGAAUAUUGUGAGGGUUUGACUAAACUUCUUUUUAUAGAGAUUUUGUACAUAUGGUAAUUUACUUGGGUAUUAUCGCAUCCAUAUCACACUCACUUUUGAAGGAGAGCACAAGCGUUUCAAGAUAAAUAAAAAUGUUACCGUGUUUCUAAA
Zootermopsis nevadensis is the source of this 767-nucleotide long non-coding RNA. RefSeq lists it as uncharacterized. The record is from RefSeq and is a predicted model, not a curated record. Lineage: Eukaryota; Metazoa; Arthropoda; Insecta; Blattodea; Termopsidae.